This is a long non-coding RNA of Toxorhynchites rutilus septentrionalis, 1136 nucleotides long. RefSeq lists it as uncharacterized. The record is from RefSeq and is a predicted model, not a curated record. The transcript is spliced from 4 exons. NCBI's taxonomy places the organism in Eukaryota, Metazoa, Arthropoda, Insecta, Diptera, Culicidae.
AGAGCUGUCUUCAAUUAUCGCCAUCGCCAAAGCUAGAAUCUAGUUUCCAAUUAGCAAUAAUCGCAACUCGGUGAAACCUCAUUGAAGCUAGAACCUAAGCAAGUCGGGUUUGAAUGGAGGAAAUAAACUCGUUAUUCUAAUUUCCACAACUGAUCACAAUCUAUCACGAUACACAAGUUAUUUUGCAUUGUGAAAGUACAUGGUUUAGAAAUGACAAAGCAAAUUGUUAUUCUCCCGGAGGGUGUGUGUGUGCUCCGGUAGUGCCCUUGGCGACAAUCGUUCCUAGCCUAGCUUCAAGUGAUUCAAAUCAAAAGGUCCUUGAACUUAAUCAUAGCUUGCUCGUUUGUUGUAUUACCGGGUGCGAAGAUAAACGACAAGUGGCGUGGUUCACUUAUUUUUUUUUCGGCAACCCAGCCAAAAACUGAGUGGCGGCAUCAUCAGGCGGCAAAGAUUGCUAACGAGCGAAGAAGCCCAGCUGAUUGCAGUCGUCAAUUUUUCCAUCCACGCCUCGUUUCUUAUCACGCAUCAUGCGGUGGAAGCACACUGCGCAGGAAUGAAAUGGUAACCUACAAACCCCGACCGUUUGCGCAAAGAGGCACAAAAAAGCCGGGGAAGUCAUAGCUGCCGAGCUGGGGACUGACGAAGAGACGGUCAGAAAAACCAUCAACGGUUUAAAGGCGCAGUUUUUAGGAGAAUGUACUAAAGUGCGCAAAGGUGGAAAGAGUGCUGCUGGUGGCAGCGAGUUGUAUAUAUCCAAAUGGUUAUAUUGUUCUGCAUUACAGUUUCUCGUCCGAGGAAAACCGGGAUCGGGAGAAUUUGACUCACUGAAUGAUACACCCAAAAACAAAGAUUAUCAGAAUGAGGAGGACGUGAAAGACUCGUCGGAAUCAAAGGGGAAUCAGCCUCCCACUUCAACUACAUGUGCAGAAGUUCAAUCUCCUAUUCCGAGAGUCAUCACGCCAUGUGGAUCAAUACCAAAUAAGAAUCUGCGGGUUUUUUUGAGUUUCUUCUUCUGUUUAAGAUUUAUGUCCAUGUUUAUGUUCUGAUAAAAGUAUUUCUGUGAUGACACUCACAAAAAUAGGUUGAAUUAUUUAUCGCUGUCAACCAAACAAUACAGAAAAACAAAAAUUACUCGU